RNAcentral lists this long non-coding RNA (204 nucleotides) under Sorghum bicolor (sorghum). Its description in RNAcentral is "long non-coding RNA (SBIC_LNC011150)". Lineage: Eukaryota; Viridiplantae; Streptophyta; Magnoliopsida; Poales; Poaceae. The record is from RNAcentral.
GGUCCAAACCUUCUAAGGAGUCGUGUUUGUCUCCGAUUCUGAAGUUGUGCUGCUCCUCGCAUAUCUUCAUCGGGCUCAGAUACGCAACCCUUUUACUGGCAGACCUAUCCAGAUCUGAACCGUACCGCAUCUCUUGUUGUUCAAAAUUCAUUCUGCAAUGAGCACUUGUAUGUUAGAUGUUGAAAAUUGAUGCAACUCAUGAAU